Molecule: non-coding RNA, 130 nt
Organism: Gossypium hirsutum (cotton)
Lineage: Eukaryota; Viridiplantae; Streptophyta; Magnoliopsida; Malvales; Malvaceae
Source: Rfam
AUUUUAAAAUUUAAUCGAUUUCUACUAUUAAAAGUCGGCAUACUUGAUGGAAUAAUCAAAUAGUCCACAUGUACCUCAUUAUAACUUACGGAUUAGUUUUUAAUAGUAGAAAUGGAUUAAAUUUUUAACA